GAGUUUGAUCCUGGCUCAGAUUGAACGCUGGCGGCAGGCCUAACACAUGCAAGUCGAGCGGAUGACGGGAGCUUGCUCCUUGAUUCAGCGGCGGACGGGUGAGUAAUGCCUAGGAAUCUGCCUGGUAGUGGGGGACAACGUUUCGAAAGGAACGCUAAUACCGCAUACGUCCUACGGGAGAAAGCAGGGGACCUUCGGGCCUUGCGCUAUCAGAUGAGCCUAGGUCGGAUUAGCUAGUUGGUGGGGUAAUGGCUCACCAAGGCGACGAUCCGUAACUGGUCUGAGAGGAUGAUCAGUCACACUGGAACUGAGACACGGUCCAGACUCCUACGGGAGGCAGCAGUGGGGAAGUAUUGGACAAUGGGCGAAAGCCUGAUCCAGCCAUGCCGCGUGUGUGAAGAAGGUCUUCGGAUUGUAAAGCACUUUAAGUUGGGAGGAAGGGCAGUAAGUUAAUACCUUGCUGUUUUGACGUUACCGACAGAAUAAGCACCGGCUAAUCUGUGCCAGCCG
RNAcentral lists this ribosomal RNA (510 nucleotides) under bacterium enrichment culture clone ALO1_GLFRUDD03FO4Y8. Its description in RNAcentral is "bacterial SSU rRNA". It matches the Rfam family "Bacterial small subunit ribosomal RNA", at positions 9 to 514 of the family's 1533-position model. The record is from RNAcentral.